UACGUAGGGGGCAAGCGUUGUCCGGAUUUAUUGGGCGUAAAGCGCUCGCAGGUGGUCCGUCGCGUCGUGCGUGAAAUACCCCGGCUCAACUGGGGGGGGUCGUGCGAUACGGGCGGACUGGAGGCCAGUAGGGGGAUGCGGAAUUCCGGGUGUAGUGGUGGAAUGCGUAGAGAUCCGGAGGAACACCAGCGGCGAAGGCGGCAUCCUGGACUGGUCCUGACACUCAGGAGCGAAAGCGUGGGGAGCAAACGGG
This 253-nucleotide ribosomal RNA is filed under the name uncultured bacterium. RNAcentral's name for it is "partial 16S ribosomal RNA". It matches the Rfam family "Bacterial small subunit ribosomal RNA", at positions 524 to 776 of the family's 1533-position model. The record is from RNAcentral.